RNAcentral lists this non-coding RNA (45 nucleotides) under Schistosoma margrebowiei. The record is from RNAcentral. Lineage: Eukaryota; Metazoa; Platyhelminthes; Trematoda; Strigeidida; Schistosomatidae.
AUCCGGCUGACGAGUCCUAGAUGGGAUGAAACGCGCGUUCUGGAU